This 489-nucleotide ribosomal RNA is filed under the name uncultured bacterium. RNAcentral's name for it is "partial 16S ribosomal RNA". It matches the Rfam family "Bacterial small subunit ribosomal RNA", at positions 28 to 507 of the family's 1533-position model. The record is from RNAcentral.
GACGAACGCUGGCGGCGUGCUUAACACAUGCAAGUCGAACGGACAGGCCCCCACCUUGGUGCGUGUGCUCGAGUGGCGAACGGGUGAGUAACACGUGGGUGAUCUGCCCUGUACUUCGGGAUAAGCUUGGGAAACUGGGUCUAAUACCGGAUAAGACCUUGGUUUAGUGUCUUCUGGUGUAAAAAUUAUUGUUUUUGUGCCUGAUGAGCUCGCGUCCUAUUAGGUUGCUGGUGGGGUAAUUGCCUACCAAGGCGUCGACCGAUACCCGGCCUGCGUGGGUGGACGGACAAGUAGGGAGAGAGAGACGGGCCAGACUCGGGAGGGAGGAAGAGGGGGGGAAUAGUGAAGAAUGGGCGCAAGACGGAUGCAGCGAGGGCGCGUGGGGGAGGACUGCGGUUGGGUAGAAAACGCCUUUCGGUAGGAACGAAGCCAUACGUUUUUUGGGAGUGGUGACGGUAACUUAGUUAAGAAGCACCGGCUAACUACGUG